RNAcentral lists this ribosomal RNA (253 nucleotides) under uncultured bacterium. RNAcentral's name for it is "partial 16S ribosomal RNA". It matches the Rfam family "Bacterial small subunit ribosomal RNA", at positions 524 to 776 of the family's 1533-position model. The record is from RNAcentral.
UACAGAGGGUGCUAGCGUUGUUCGGAAUUAUUGGGCGUAAAGAGCGCGUAGGCGGUCUGCUAAGUCUGGUGUGAAAGCCCUCGGCUUAACCGGGGAAGUGCAUUGGAUACUGGCAGGCUUGAGUGUGAGAGAGGAUCGUGGAAUUCCUGGUGUAGCGGUGAAAUGCGUAGAUAUCAGGAGGAACACCGGUGGCGAAGGCGGCGAUCUGGAUCAUAACUGACGCUGAGGCGCGAAAGCGUGGGUAGCAAACAGG